UAUUGGUCUGAAAACCUGACUUAUGAUAUGUCAGCAUUCAGGAAGUAAGCAGAGAGAAACAGUUAUAAUUGGGAGAGGAAAGGGAACAGAGUAAAGGUUACCCUUAAAAAACAAAAGAUGUACUACAUUUUGAAAUAAAACUGGCAAAAUUAAUUAUAUCUGUAGAGUUAACAGUGAUAAAUAAGUUGACAAGAAUUAGAGCCCAAACUUUGAAAAAUAUUGGGUGGCAGAAAAUUCUUCCCUGGAUGCCUUAUUUAAUUUAAAUUUGCUAAUAAGCUCCAUUGCCUUUAUCCAGUCAGUGGGGCAAAUUUCCAUGGAUAAUGAAGAUGAAAACCGUGAGUUCCCUUAUGCAAUCAGACCACUUGCCAGCACCUGCCUCCAUUUCCUUCCUGGUGAACAAACCGCAUUCUGCCUCCGAGGAUUGUCCUUGGACUUGGGGAAAGUGAGAAUAAAUGUAUAGUCCAUUUUGAAUCUGAUAAGAUUCCAGGCAGCAUCUUCAGAAUUCUGACCCACUAAGCUAGAAAAGGCCUUUCAGAUUCCCAACUGUCAUUAUCAAAACAGAAGCUAGAAAAGCUAGUCUUUCUUUCAUCCAUUCACAAAGCAAACAAAGUCCAUAUAAGUUUAUUGAAAGUCCAUUGACAAGCGAUGUGAGAGGAAACUUCUUUUUCAUAACAUCCAAGGUGGAAUUCUGAUAGAUCCUUAGAGAGCAAAAGGUGACCAUUAAAAUUUGAAUCCCUUUACUUUAUUUCAUACAGCUCAUCCUACAUGUCUAAUAUUGAGAAUAGACUCCAGAAUAUCUAUGCCAAGGAUUCAAGUGAGGGCAAAAUAUAGCUUUACUGCCAGUGUGGGUAUCUGUCCAACAUCCCCUCUAGGGGUGCAGGGGUGUUGAACCUGGGCUCUAGCCCCGGGGUUGCACUGGGUGAGGGGGAGACCAUGGCAUGGGAUGGGCCAAUCUGGACUUGACAGUGAUUUGAGAGGCGGCCUCCAACAAGGGUUGCCAUGCAAUAUUUGGGGCAUACUAAUAUUAAAAAAUUAUUUGUUUUCUGUCUGAAAUUCAAUUUUUUUGACUUGAUAUUUUAUCUGCGUAUUUUCUGUACUUAUUUGUAUUUUAAAAUCCUGUGUUUUAUCCAGUAGCCUGACUCUAAUCACCAUUUCCAAAACUGAAGAACAGAGCCAAUGUGUCCCUCCAAAGGGGCCAGACAGAAAGAUGCCUUAUGUAAUAUCUACUAUGGAUUCACUAGCGUUGACCAGCACAGUAGCGGCACUGUAACUCGGGCCUGAAGGAAGCUCACCUAACACAGAGAUUUUCUCCGUAAAAUCAUCACAGCCUUCCUGCACUUACACACUCUAGACAGAACUUCAGCACUACACUUGGGGGCCAUUCUAAAGAGCAAAAUCACCAAAAAGUCCUCUCCUUGGGGCAUGGCCACUCUCCAGCAGAUCAAGGUGUCUGGUUUGACCCAAACCUCCACUCUUAUUUUCUGCUUAAACUCAGAGUACC
This 1501-nucleotide long non-coding RNA is filed under the name Equus caballus (horse). Its description in RNAcentral is "lncRNA (ENSECAG00000048561.1)". Lineage: Eukaryota; Metazoa; Chordata; Mammalia; Perissodactyla; Equidae. The record is from RNAcentral.